UACGAAGGAUUCGAGCGUUAUCCGGAUUUAUUGGGCGUAAAGGGUGCGUAGGCGGACUAAUAAGUCAGUGGUGAAAGCCCGCAGCUUAACUGCGGAACUGCCAUUGAUACUGUUAGUCUUGAGUACAGUUGAGGUGGGCGGAAUUUGUCAUGUAGCGGUGAAAUGCUUAGAUAUGACGCAGAACACCGAUUGCGAAGGCAGCUCACUAAGCUGUAACUGACACUGAGGCACGAAAGCGUGGGGAUCAAACAGG
RNAcentral lists this ribosomal RNA (253 nucleotides) under uncultured bacterium. RNAcentral describes it as "partial 16S ribosomal RNA". It matches the Rfam family "Bacterial small subunit ribosomal RNA", at positions 524 to 776 of the family's 1533-position model. The record is from RNAcentral.